This 468-nucleotide unclassified non-coding RNA is filed under the name Hevea brasiliensis (rubber tree). Lineage: Eukaryota; Viridiplantae; Streptophyta; Magnoliopsida; Malpighiales; Euphorbiaceae. The record is from RNAcentral.
GCUCAGUACUGAUGUUCUGUUUGUUAACAUUGCGGACACAAGUUGUUGGUAUUUGGGACUUUUCCUUCCGAAUUUGUCCAAAAGGGACUUUUCUUGAUGCCUUCUCCAAUUUGUUCAGAGACUCUUUGUUGGCUUUAGAAACAAUUCCUUCGUCUGCAACUCUUGAUGCUGCUGUACAGGAAUCAUCUGAGCAGCCAGAUUUACCGAAGAAAGAUUUGAGAUAAGCCCUGGAAGCCUUCAACUUUGAACUAAGUGAGGAUUGCUUGAUUUGCUUAAGCUUUUUGGUCCAAGACUUCUUUCUGAUUUCACCAACGUAAUCACUUUCUUCAUUUGAGUACUCAAAAAAGAAAUCUCCAGGAUUUAGCUCUCGACUAACUCGACAAGAUUCAGAAGGUGAGAUAUUGCAGGAUUCAAAUGGGGUACUGGUUGUAGUUGGUGUUGUUGCAGUGGUCAUUAAUUGGGGGCUAA